AACGAACGCCGGCGGCAUGCCUAACACAUGCAAGUCGAACGAGACCUUCGGGUCUAGUGGCGCACGGGUGCGUAACGCGUGGGAACCUGCCCUUAGGUUCGGCAUAACUCCCCGAAAGGGGUGCUAAUACCGGAUAAUGUCUUAGGACCAAAGAUUUAUCGCAUUUGGAUGGGCACGCGUUGGAUUAGCUAGUUGGUAGGGUAAAAGCCUACCAAGGCGACAAUGCAUAGCUGGUCUGAGAGGAUGGUCAGCCACACUGGGACUGAGACACGGCCCAGAAUCCUACGGGAGGCAGCAGUGGGGAACAUUGGACAAUGGGGGGAAGCCUGAACCAGCAAUGCCGCGUGAGUUAUGAAAGCCUUAGGGUUGUAAAGCGUUUUUACCCAGGAAGGUAAUGACAGUACCGGGUGAAAAAGCUCCGGCUAACUCCGUG
RNAcentral lists this ribosomal RNA (433 nucleotides) under uncultured bacterium. Its description in RNAcentral is "partial 16S ribosomal RNA". It matches the Rfam family "Bacterial small subunit ribosomal RNA", at positions 29 to 507 of the family's 1533-position model. The record is from RNAcentral.